AGUGAACGCUGGCGGUAGGCCUAACACAUGCAAGUCGAACGGCAGCACAGUAAGAGCUUGCUCUUACGGUUGGCGAGUGGCGGACGGGUGAGGAAUACAUCGGAAUCUUCUUUUUCGUGGGGGACAACGUAGGGAAACUUACGCUAAUACCGCAUACGAUCUACGGGUGAAAUCAGGGGAUCUUCGGACCUUGCGCGAUUGAAUGAGCCGAUGUCGGAUUAGCUAGUUGGCGGGGUAAAGGCCCACCAAGGCGACGAUCCGUAGCUGGUCUGAGAGGAUGAUCAGCCACACUGGAACUGAGACACGGUCCAGACUCCUACGGGAGGCAGCAGUGGGGAAUAUUGGACAAUGGGCGAAAGCCUGAUCCAGCCAUGCCGCGUGAGUGAAGAAGGCCUUCGGAUUGUAAAGCCCUUUUGUUAGGAAAGAAAAUAUGCAGGUUAAUACCCCGAUGUUCUGACGGUACCCAAAGAGAAAGCACCGGCUAACUACGUG
RNAcentral lists this ribosomal RNA (492 nucleotides) under uncultured bacterium. Its description in RNAcentral is "partial 16S ribosomal RNA". It matches the Rfam family "Bacterial small subunit ribosomal RNA", at positions 29 to 507 of the family's 1533-position model. The record is from RNAcentral.